This 447-nucleotide ribosomal RNA is filed under the name uncultured bacterium. RNAcentral describes it as "partial 16S ribosomal RNA". It matches the Rfam family "Bacterial small subunit ribosomal RNA", at positions 29 to 523 of the family's 1533-position model. The record is from RNAcentral.
AACGAACGCUGGCGGCAGGCUUAACACAUGCAAGUCGAACGCAUCGCAAGAUGAGUGGCAGACGGGUGAGUAACGCGUGGGAAUCUACCGAGCCCUGCGGAAUAGCUCCGGGAAACUGGAAUUAAUACCGCAUACGUCCUUAGGGAGAAAGAUUUAUCGGGGUUUGAUGAGCCCGCGUUGGAUUAGCUAGUUGGUGGGGUAAAGGCCUACCAAGGCGACGAUCCAUAGCUGGUCUGAGAGGAUGAUCAGCCAAAUUGGGACUGACACACGGCCCAAACUCCUACGGGAGGCAGCAGUGGGGAAUAGUGGACAAUGGGCGCAAGCCUGAUCCAGCCAUGCCGCGUGAGUGAUGAAGGUCUUAGGAUUGUAAAGCUCUUUCACCGGAGAAGAUAAUGACGGUAUCCGGAGAAGAAGCCCCGGCUAACUUCGUGCCAGCAGCCGCGGUAA